Molecule: ribosomal RNA, 461 nt
Filed under: uncultured Pseudomonas sp.
Lineage: Bacteria; Pseudomonadati; Pseudomonadota; Gammaproteobacteria; Pseudomonadales; Pseudomonadaceae
Description: bacterial SSU rRNA
Rfam family: Bacterial small subunit ribosomal RNA
Source: RNAcentral
AGACUCCUACGGGAGGCAGCAGUGGGGAAUAUUGGACAAUGGGCGAAAGCCUGAUCCAGCCAUGCCGCGUGUGUGAAGAAGGUCUUCGGAUUGUAAGCACUUUAAGUUGGGAGGAAGGGCAGUAAAUUAAUACUUUGCUGUUUUGACGUUACCGACAGAAUAAGCACCGGCUAACUCUGUGCCAGCAGCCGCGGUAAUACAGAGGGUGCAAGCGUUAAUCGGAAUUACUGGGCGUAAAGCGCGCGUAGGUGGUUUGUUAAGUUGAAUGUGAAAUCCCCGGGCUCAACCUGGGAACUGCAUCCAAAACUGGCAAGCUAGAGUAUGGUAGAGGGUAGUGGAAUUUCCUGUGUAGCGGUGAAAUGCGUAGAUAUAGGAAGGAACACCAGUGGCGAAGGCGACUACCUGGACUGAUACUGACACUGAGGUGCGAAAGCGUGGGGAGCAAACAGGAUUAAAUACCC